UCCCCCAGUGAUAAAAUGUCACAUUUAUGCAUUUUUAUUCUAUGUAUUUUAUGUUUUGUCUUUAUAUUUUAGGGUUUUGCACAUGUUAUAGUACUCUUUGUUGUUAGCGCUGCUAAAUUUGUGUUUUGUUCUUUAUUCUGGUUUUGUCUGUAACAUCUGGUAGUGUCCGGUCAUGAAACGAAAACAAGGAACGUGGCAUCUGAGGAGCUGUGUCAAGAAGGCAUCGCCAUUAACGAGCCAGAAGUGAUGCAAGAGAAGAGCGGAGAUGGAGCUACAGAAUCAAAAGAGAACACCACUGAAAAUAUUGACACUAAGGAGCAAGGUAACACACCCGACGGGUCGGACGAGUGUAAGCAAGAUGAAAGUUCCAAACUCCUCAUCCAGGCACGAAACAUAGACCAUUGGGGAGAUAUUAGUCAGGACAUGGAAGCAAAAGGGGUGUCAAGAUCCCAGGCUUUCAUAGGUGACUUCACAAUCCUCUAACCCACAUAGGCUGAAUAGAUCGGGUAAUAGACUAGGAGAGUCAUAUGAGAGUGAGAGGAACAUGAGAGACGAAAGUUCCAAAGUUUGUCUUCCACACACACAAUAUUACAUAAUAUACGGUCGAGUAUCAAUAGUUUGCUUAUAUACUACAAUCAGAAAUAUUGAAACUGAUAAUGUGUAUGCUGGAUGUAAACAAGAAUUGCAUUGUUAGAAGUUUGGUAGUUGA
Long non-coding RNA from Strongylocentrotus purpuratus (purple sea urchin), 709 nucleotides. RefSeq lists it as uncharacterized. NCBI's taxonomy places the organism in Eukaryota, Metazoa, Echinodermata, Echinoidea, Camarodonta, Strongylocentrotidae. The transcript has 3 exons. The record is from RefSeq and is a predicted model, not a curated record.